Molecule: ribosomal RNA, 264 nt
Filed under: uncultured bacterium
Lineage: Bacteria
Description: partial 16S ribosomal RNA
Rfam family: Bacterial small subunit ribosomal RNA
Source: RNAcentral
GUCCACGCCCUAAACGAUGUCAACUAGGUGUUGGUGGGGUUAAACCCAUUAGUACCGUAGCUAACGCGUGAAGUUGACCGCCUGGGGAGUACGGCCGCAAGGUUAAACUCAAAGGAAUUGACGGGGACCCGCACAAGCGGUGGAUGAUGUGGAUUAAUUCGAUGCAACGCGAAAACCUUACCUACCCUUGACAUGUCCAGAAGCCUGAAGAGAUUUGGGUGUGCUCGAAAGAGAACUGGAACACAGGUGCUGCAUGGCUGUCGU